RNAcentral lists this unclassified non-coding RNA (1836 nucleotides) under Leishmania donovani. RNAcentral describes it as "gene:LdHU3.25.0040(CDS-product:Domain_of_unknown_ function_(DUF2431)_putative)". Lineage: Eukaryota; Euglenozoa; Kinetoplastea; Trypanosomatida; Trypanosomatidae. The record is from RNAcentral.
GUGGCGGACACCCAUUCCUGCUCACCUCUGCGCUGACUUUGCACCCAACUAUAUCGCAUGCCACAGGCCAGCUGCGAUGAGGGGACUCGUAAGACCUGCCCAACAACCCAUGUGCUCCCAGAUCCUCUUUUCAUUCUGCUCGUUGGCGAAGGAAAUUUGAGCUUCACUUAUGCGCUUGUCAAACGCCUGUCCCGCAGUGCAGUUGUCCGCCGUGCGACGCAGAAUGAUGCCGUAGCCGGCGAGCGGCAGCGCGGCAUCGUCGUGGAGGUGAUUGCCACCACCUUCGACAGUGAGGCAGAAGUGUCGCGCAAGUAUCCGGAGGCGGUGGGCUUCCUGGCGUACUUUGCAGCGAAGCGGCGCGUGCGUGUACGUUACCACGACCAUGUGAACGCGACGUCGCUGUCGUCCGCCGCUGCACCGCUGCGAGAUCAGCCCCUGCACCUUCUCAUCUUUAAUAAUCCACACAUCGGAUUCGAGGAUCUCUACCGACAAAUCGCCCUGCUGUCGCACUUCUUCCGCAGCGCGCGCGAACUACACACCCAUGCACUGACACAGGACUUUCCCCAAGAGGUCGUGGUUACUCUGUGCGACGACCAAGCGCAGCGGUGGGACUUGCUCGGGUGUGCGGCGCGCAGCGGCUACAUAUGCGUCGCGGCCGUGCCCAUGCGCUCCGCCGACUUCCCCGAGUAUACAAACCGCCGUCACCAGCGCCACGCCGCCUUCCCGUUUCGCAUCAUGGUGCAGUACUACUUUGUGGCCCCCCAAGCCGCGCUGCACGGGGUGCUGCGCGACCUCUCCGAGGAAAUGAUGUCCUGGGAGCAGGAGCGCCAGGCGCGCCUGCAUGAGGGAUUACCCUGCAGCUAUACCUGCGUGGAGUGGUUGCGCGUGGCAAAGUCCAACUUUGGUUAUUCUUCACAAGCCGCCGACGCGACGGCAGAAGUCAUCCACUCCGCCGCUACACACCCGUCCGUCUUGAGCGGUGACGACUUCUCUGUCAACAGAUCCGCAUGUUCUGCACAGCAACCUCUGCCGCUUCUCCAUCCGACGCUGGUGGCCCGCGUUGUGGGAGAAGCUGCUAUGGCCCCUUUCUCCUCCGCCCCUUCUGAGGACCACACAGAGGCGUUCAUGCCGUACUUGCCCAGUUCUACGUGGAUCCGUCUGUAUCGAGCUCAGCGCUGGGCGGAGCAGCGGUGUAGCUUUUCUGUUGCUCUUGCGCCGCCCAAGACGCCUCCGCUACCGCCUCACCUCGACUCGUCGAUUCUUGGCCGCCCCCUCACGUCGAAAGAGGCCAGCAAGCUUGGGCGCUACUUGUCUGGCUACGGCGCAGCGAUGAGAGCAAAGGCUCAGCAGCGCCGACAAGCCGAGAUGCUGGAGGCAUGUCCAUGGAGCUGCAAGGCGUGCCAGCCCGCUCGCACCUUCGAGAGGGAGGACGAUCUGCGACAGCACCAGAUCGCGAAGCACUGUGGCGCGACUCCACUUGCGCCGACGCUAUACGCUCGUGUGCAUGAACAGGUCGAGGCUGCGAGUCGCCGCCUAGAGGAAGCUCUGGCUGGCUUGGAUAUAGAAGACGGCGGCGAUAAAGGCUCCUGCGAGGUGUGCGGGCUGCGUUUCAAGAGCAGCGAUGCUUACGAAGAGCACCUCCGCUACUUAUCUCCCCUUCCUGUCGACGAUGCAGCGGACUUGGUGUGCAACGUCUGCCACCCGGUUAAGUGCUUUACCGACCGCCGCGCACUUGAGCAGCAUCGAGCCACGAAGCACUCGGCAGCGGAGUGAGCGACUCCGCGUGGAAACAACUCCCGCUAAGAUUUGGCACCCGCGAGGUUAUGAGCACCAACG